Molecule: transfer RNA, 67 nt
Filed under: Waoraniella jarlinsoni
Lineage: Eukaryota; Metazoa; Arthropoda; Insecta; Psocodea; Lachesillidae
Description: tRNA-Asn
Source: RNAcentral
UUAAUUAAAGCCAAAAAGAGGCAUAUCAUUGUUAAUGAUAUAACUGAUUAAAUAAUAUCUAAUUAAA